CAACCAGCUGGAGUGCUAUCUGUAAUCUCACAUGAUGAUCCAAGACUCGUCAAAUCAUCUCAAAAUCCACAGAGACCUUUCUUUCCACAUGCAACAGUAAGAAAAUGGAGGUCAGAGUACAAGUCCAACUUCAAAACCCCUCAGGUGUUUAGUUAUGAGAAUGGAGUAUGGAAAGGUGCAGAUCCUCCUCAUGUCCAACCUAGAGGUGAUUCAUCAGAUAGAGGGGUCAAACCAGAGCACCUCACCAGGUCAAAGUCUGUAGGAGACUUACCCAACUGGUUCUCAGAAGUCUUAGAAUUACGUGAGAGGGCGAAAGAGUACCAGAAGCGGUCCCGAGGCACUAAUUUUACCAGGCAGCAUCUAGGUACUGGCUACUCAGGCCAAGUUAUGGGAGGAAUCCAGUGAUCAACUUAGUACAUCAAGCUCUAUCUCCACUCAAACAACAGGAUCAGAGAAAAAAGAUGAACCAAAGGAGGGAGCACGCCCUUCAGCGAGUGCUCCAGACUUGGGCCAUGAACCAACAAGAAGAAAGCUAGGUUGGCAUGCCAACAACAACAAAGCGGAGGAAGAACCCAACCAAAACAGAAACAUUGCACAUCUUGAAAGGAGAUCAAGUAUCAGCAGUGUUACAACCCCUGAGUCAAUGCCAAGUAUGUCAUCUCGGAGUUCUGAGAUAGAAAGCAUUGAAGAGAAUGGGCGCCUUACAACCCCAACCCAAGGGGGGAGUCUGAACAGUCACAUGGAAGCAAGAGACACCAUUUAGACAGGACCACUCCUGCAAAAGGAGGUGCCUUGCUGACUUCACCAGCAUCAAGAAGAAGAGCCACCCAUGUUCCUAAAACCAUAGUAACCUAUCCAAGGCAAGGAGAGCCGAUGAAGCCCAGUAGUCGUACAUAUGUUGCAAGGUCUGCCCCUGUCAAAGCAAUCAUUCCUGGCGGUAUCACAAAAGGCUUUGAAUAUGAUAGUGAUGAUGAUGAUGAGGAUGAUGUUGAUCUAGACAUAACACUUACACGGGGGCAGCAGACACCUCCUCGUAAUCCCACCCAACAAAAACAGAUGGGAAGAUUCUUGCACUCCUCACCAUCAGCUGGAAGGAGAACCUCUGAUCCACAUCCUCUCAACGAGGAACUGAUAUCCCCCAGGCUUCCAGAGGCACUCUGAGAGAUUCUUUGAAACCAGUCCCGGGAUGCCAACCAUCCCAAACAAGAUCGAGCCGCCAAAGACCUGGGCGGGUCUUAAAACAGCUCCUCCUGCUGGGAAAGGUCCCCUUGAAAGACCGCACUCUGGUAGGAUCGGCGGACGCCCACAGACGGCCGUCCCACAGACCAGAGAAGCUGCCUCUCAGCAGGUGCAAAGACUCCAUUCCUUCAUGUCACCCAGGUCCAACGGUCUAGAGUCUCCCGAUGAUUGGAACCUGACCCCACCCAGGGGUGGAGGAGGGGGCGGAGAGACAGCGAUGAGCUCUCCUUAUCAACCAUGUCCAAUGCAUCCAGCUGCAGUCUAGCAUCUGAGGUACUCGAGAGAGCCAAGAAGAGGCGUGAUGACUUCUGGGGAAAAGAUAAAAGAGAUUGAGAUGAUGUGCUUUAGUGAAAUGAAUUUAUAGCAGUAAUGGUAUUCCUUUUUUUUUUUUUUUGAACAAAUACAACACACAGGGGAAUCACUUUGAGAAGUUAACGAUUCCCUUACAGAUUAAUCAGAGCCAAUAUAAACACAAUUUCAGGAAAUGUGAACAAAAGCUGGGGAGAAUUUGGAAGUUGUGUGGUUCUUUCCAGAAAGGAAAGUGGAAAUCCGAAAUGCCAGUAGGACUUUUCCCCUGUAAGCUAUUUGUAAUGAGUGUCUAGCUCAUGAAGACCUGAUAACUUAAUUCAUUCUUUUUAUUAUGUGUUGUGAUGUUAUCCAAAAAUUAGUUGAGCAUCAUAUGAAUCAUCAUGCAUUGAUAGAAUAUUUAAUACUUCAUAAAUCUCUUGUCUUCAUUAGAGACAGUGUUAAACAUUAACAGUCUUUCAGACAUAAAAGGAUGUCUUUUUCAUUGAAAAUCAAAGCACUUGCCACUUUAAUCUCUCUUAAGUAAACUAAAUUUGAGCACAACCUCUUUAUAUUUUUAGACUUCUGCAAAGAAAACAAAAUCUCAGGCAAAUUUUACCUUGUAAAUUUUGAAAGGCCUAUUUUACUUUUUAUCAUUUCUGAUUUUAAACAUGGGCACCUAUUUAUUUCCUUGUGCUUCUUAAGUGUACAUAGUGUAUAGUAUUAUUUGUUUUGAAGUGAACCGAAUGAAAUAUGUAACAUUAUGUGCAGUUUUGAUUUUAUUUUUGUUUAUUAUUUAUACAUAGCCCAUUCAUGCUUCGAAGUUAAUUUGUAAAUGUCUAGUACAUGUAUCUAAUUUUAGACAUGAAUUUGAAUAGAAAAUAGUUUGAUUUUGUUGAUAAAUGGAUGAGUGGACAUUCAAACUGCCCUUUUAGCUGUGUAGUCAUUCACAUAGGUUUGCAAUAUAGUAAAGGGAUCGUGUAGGACCAUGUUGUGUUAGACCAAAGCUUUUGUCUGGGCACGAUUUGCAUAUCAUAGUCUUUCCAAAUACAUGUAGAUACUUUUUUCAGUUUUCCUCCUGUACUCUUUGGGUUUAGAUGUACUUUACAUUCCACUUUUUCAUCCAGUUAUAGAUACAUGUAAAUGCAGUAUUGUAGCUUGUGGAUAUAAGAUCCUGAAGUACAUGUGUUGAUAUGUAUAAACAAUGCAAAAUAGAGUCUUUUAUACUUGCACAAAAAUGCAUUAAUGUUCUAUUUUUCCACUGGAUAUUCAUGCAUGUAUUUUGAUUUGGAAAAAAAUGUAAUAGAGUGUAUAAAGGGUGAACUAGAAGUACUGUUUAAAAUGAAAUGAAUUGUUGUUUUUUCCCCCAUCAUAUGCAGUAUGGAUGGAUUAUUUAUUAUUUUCACACUUUCCACAAAUAUGGGAUGUUAGCAUUGCUAAUUAAUGACUGGCAUGUGUAUGGUUUUCAUGUUUGAAUCAUUUAUGGACUGGAUGGUUACUGAAUUCUCAUCACAAAAAAAACACAGUUUCUGUAGCCAACGAGUAAAUGCAAAAUGUUAAAGCUGGUCAUAAACUUGUAUUUAUUUGACGAAAAAAAGUAGAACAUUCAAAAUUAAGAUAUUUAAUAUGUCCCUUUCAUGUAAUACUAGUAAACCACACGAGUCAAUGGAUUAGCAACAUUCAUACUUCACCCUAUGAUUUCAGUAAUAUUCGUGAAGAGGUCAUGGCCUUUUCGAAAAUAAUAACACAAAUAUCAAUAAAAUGUCAGGGAUUUUCAAAAUCUGACUGAAUAUGACUUCCUUCUUUGUCCUUUAAAGAGUUUUUGGAAAUGUAAAAUUCCAAUGAGCUUCCUCAUUUUGUGUAUCAACAGGAAACUGUUAAUAUUUCGUAGUAUUGAUUUAGAAACUUAAAUUUCUUAAAAGGAUAUAACAAAGAUCUGCAACAUCAAAUAAACAAAAAAAUGUAUUGAUAUCAAUAUGAAUGUGGACUAAACCUAGAUGCAGUACAUGCUUUAUUCGGUUUACAUACAUCAUAGAAAUUAAUGAGAAAAAACGACAAUAUUUGGUAUUAAGCCUCCUCUGGCUUUUUAAGUGCACCAAGCACCAACAAGUAUACCAUGUUGCUGUACUGUAUUUAAAAUGUGAGCUUCAAAUAUUGCUAUAAAAGAGAUAUAGCAAAUUUUAAAUACAUUCUCAAUUAACAUAAUAAUGACUUGUCAGUUUACUAGUCCAUGCAUCGGUACCUACUUUGUAUAGAACCCAAGUUUGAAUUGGGUCGUAUUAUUAGGGUUUAAUUUUAUUCUCAUAUUUAUAGUCCUUAACCAUUACCCAAUAGAAUGUAAUGUAAAAGUGUCAUAAAGUUGAUUGUACUUUAGCUGUAUACAAAUUACUUUGUUGGGUGAUUAGUACACCUCGAGACUGCUAAUCCUCAUACCGGUAGGUAGAUCAAUAUACAUGUAUGAGGAUUAGCAACUCAAAGUACCUUGUAUGUUUAAUUGGCAUGGUACUGUAGUAAUAAACAAUGUUCAGAUUCAAUUCAUUUUAAAACUAUUUGUUACCACAUCAAUUGAAGGAAAUUGUGGCCUGUCACGAGGCCAAGGAAAUGGUUCAUUGUGUGGGCGUGGGAUUCCCCCCUCUGCAAUAGUGAGAAAAAAUUUGCUUGGUAUGAUAAUAUUUUCUUGAAUUAUGUCAAGUACUACUAAGUUGCUGAGUCAUUAAGUUUUGACUGUCAAGUCCCCUUUGCAUAGAAUUAGUAGAAAAGACUGUCAUUGAUUGUUGAAAAAGACCUUGAGUUCAGGACCUAAAUAGAACAGAAGGAAUAAAAACAAUAUCUUGAAUUUAUAAAUUUGAAAUAUAAUAUGAAUUCUUUAUACUAAAGAAAUGAAAUACUGCAUAAGCAAAAUUUAUUAUAAAAAGUCUCUUGACUGUUAUUAGGAAUGAACUUAAAUUGAACUCUUUACAAAAAAGUCACUUGGUUUGUAGUGUCUCUUACUAAAUUGAAAAAUGCAAUAUGAAAUAUGUGGAUUAUGAGAUGGAAUGGUGUAUAAGUGUCAAGCUUGUGUUGUCUGUUGAGAGCCAGAAGAGCAUUAAACCUGUAUAAAAGUAUAGGAAUUGAUGCCCUUGUGGCUUUUGGUGGAUGAUAUAAUGCUUUGAAACCCUGUGUAAUCAAAAAGGUUUCUUUACUCCUUUUAAACGUUGAAAUUGACUUUGAUGUUUGAAAAUGUAGUCCUCGUGAAAUGGUUCUCCAUGAAAACUCAUUUCUCUUCAUUACUGCAUACUAGUACUGCUUUAUUCGUCUACAGAAUUCAAAGUAACACAAAAGGAGAGAAGAAAAGAAGACAUUACCCUGGCCCUUGGCUUGACAUUGCAACACCAGAAGAUGUAUAUUUUCAGUUUUGUGUAUGGAAACUGUGAUGGAGAGGCAGAUUUUGUCUUGUUUGCUAAUAAAUCUUACUCAUACAUGUCGGAGUAUGACAGAAAAUAAAA
This 5009-nucleotide long non-coding RNA is filed under the name Strongylocentrotus purpuratus (purple sea urchin). RNAcentral describes it as "uncharacterized LOC105447209". The record is from RNAcentral. Lineage: Eukaryota; Metazoa; Echinodermata; Echinoidea; Camarodonta; Strongylocentrotidae.